GAACCUUUACUAUAGCUUGACACUGAACAUUGAGCCUUGAUGUGUAGGAUAGGUGGGAGGCUUAGAAGUGUGGACGCCAGUCUGCAUGGAGCCGACCUUGAAAUACCACCCUUUAAUGUUUGAUGUUCUAACGUUGACCCGUAAUCCGGGUUGCGGACAGUGUCUGGUGGGUAGUUUGACUGGGGCGGUCUCCUCCUAAAGAGUAACGGAGGAGCACGAAGGUUGGCUAAUCCUGGUCGGACAUCAGGAGGUUAGUGCAAUGGCAUAAGCCAGCUUGACUGCGAGCGUGACGGCGCGAGCAGGUGCGAAAGCAGGUCAUAGUGAUCCGGUGGUUCUGAAUGGAAGGGCCAUCGCUCAACGGAUAAAAGGUACUCCGGGGAUAACAGGCUGAUACCGCCCAAGAGUUCAUAUCGACGGCGGUGUUUGGCACCUCGAUGUCGGCUCAUCACAUCCUGGGGCUGAAGUAGGUCCCAAGGGUAUGGCUGUUCGCCAUUUAAAGUGGUACGCGAGCUGGGUUUAGAACGUCGUGAGACAGUUCGGUCCCUAUCUGCCGUGGGCGCUGGAGAACUGAGGGGGGCUGCUCCUAGUACGAGAGGACCGGAGUGGACGCAUCACUGGUGUUCGGGUUGUCAUGCCAAUGGCACUGCCCGGUAGCUAAAUGCGGAAGAGAUAAGUGCUGAAAGCAUCUAAGCACGAAACUUGCC
This 704-nucleotide ribosomal RNA is filed under the name Escherichia coli. Its description in RNAcentral is "partial 23S ribosomal RNA". It matches the Rfam family "Bacterial large subunit ribosomal RNA", at positions 2095 to 2798 of the family's 2925-position model. The record is from RNAcentral. Lineage: Bacteria; Pseudomonadati; Pseudomonadota; Gammaproteobacteria; Enterobacterales; Enterobacteriaceae.